This 509-nucleotide ribosomal RNA is filed under the name uncultured bacterium. RNAcentral describes it as "bacterial SSU rRNA". It matches the Rfam family "Bacterial small subunit ribosomal RNA", at positions 29 to 526 of the family's 1533-position model. The record is from RNAcentral.
AACGAACGCUGGCGGCGUGCUUAACACAUGCAAGUCGAACGCGAAAGUUUUCUUCGGAAAACGAGUAGAGUGGCGCACGGGUGAGUAACGCGUAAGUAAUCUACCCUGGCAUCUGGGAUAACCCACCGAAAGGUGUGCUAAUACCGGAUACGUUGAUUUAUCAAGAAAGGUGGCCUCUGUUUCAUGCUAUCGUGCUGGGAGGAGCUUGCGUACCAUUAGCUAGUUGGUGGGGUAAUGGCCUACCAAGGCAACGAUGGUUAGCGGGUCUGAGAGGAUGAUCCGCCACACUGGAACUGGAACACGGACCAGACUCCUACGGGAGGCAGCAGUGAGGAAUAUUGCGCAAUGGGGGAAACCCUGACGCAGCGACGCCGCGUGGAUGAUGAAGGCCUUCGGGUCGUAAAAUCCUGUCAGAAGGGAAGAAAUGGUUAUAAGUUAAUACCUUGUAUCCUUGACGGUACCUUCAAAGGAAGCACCGGCUAACUCCGUGCCAGCCGCCGCCGUAAAAC